Molecule: transfer RNA, 72 nt
Filed under: Felis catus (domestic cat)
Lineage: Eukaryota; Metazoa; Chordata; Mammalia; Carnivora; Felidae
Rfam family: tRNA
About the family: Transfer RNA (tRNA) molecules are approximately 80 nucleotides in length.
Source: Rfam by way of RNAcentral
GCCUGACUGGCUCAGUCGGUAGAGUGUGAGACUCAUAUCUCAAGGUCGUGAGUCCAAGCCCCGUGUUGGGUG